This 435-nucleotide ribosomal RNA is filed under the name uncultured bacterium. RNAcentral's name for it is "partial 16S ribosomal RNA". It matches the Rfam family "Bacterial small subunit ribosomal RNA", at positions 28 to 507 of the family's 1533-position model. The record is from RNAcentral.
GAUGAACGCUGGCGGUAUGCUUAACACAUGCAAGUCGAACGGACUCUUCGGAGUUAGUGGCGGACGGGUGAGUAACGCGUGAGAAUCUGGCUUUGGGUCCGGGACAACCACUGGAAACGGUGGCUAAUACCGGAUGUGCCGAGAGGUAAAAGAGAAAUUGCCUGAAGAUGAGCUCGCGUCUGAUUAGCUAGUUGGUGAGGUAAAGGCUCACCAAGGCAGCGAUCAGUAGCUGGUCUGAGAGGAUGACCAGCCACACUGGGACUGAGACACGGCCCAGACUCCUACGGGAGGCAGCAGUGGGGAAUUUUCCGCAAUGGGCGAAAGCCUGACGGAGCAAUACCGCGUGAGGGAAGAAGGCUCUUGGGGUGUAAACCUCUUUUCUUAGGGAAGAACAAAAUGACGGUACCUAAGGAAUCAGCAUCGGCUAACUCCGUG